This 497-nucleotide ribosomal RNA is filed under the name uncultured bacterium. Its description in RNAcentral is "partial 16S ribosomal RNA". It matches the Rfam family "Bacterial small subunit ribosomal RNA", at positions 28 to 507 of the family's 1533-position model. The record is from RNAcentral.
GAUGAACGCUGGCGGCGUGCCUAAUACAUGCAAGUCGAGCGGACGGACGAGAAGCUUGCUUUUCUGAUGUUAGCGGCGGACGGGUGAGUCACACGUGGAUAACCUACCUAUAAGACUGGGAUAACUUCGGGAAACCGGAGCUAAUACCGGAUAAUAUUUUGAACCGCAUGGUUCAAAGGUGAAAGACGGUCUUGCUGUCACUUAUAGAUGGAUCCGCGCUGCAUUAGCUGGUUGGUAAGGUAACGGCUUACCAAGGCAACGAUGCAUAGCCGAGCUGAGGGGGUGAUCGGCGACACUGGAACUGAGACAUGGACCAGACUCCUACGGGAGGCAGCAGUAGGGAAUCGUCCGCAAUGGGCGAAAGCCUGACGGAGCAACGCCGCGUGAGUGAUGAAGGUCUUCGGAUCGUAAAACUCUGUUAUGAGGGAAGAACAUAUGUGUAAGUAACUGUGCACAGCUUGACGGUACCUAAUCAGAAAGCCACGGCUAACUACGUG